GGACAUAACGAUAGAGAUAACGAUAGACAUAACAAUGGACAUAACGAUAGACAUAACGAUGGUGACAAAAGGCAGACAAGUGCAAUACCCACAAAACAAGACUUACCACCAUAUAUACAAAAAAUAAAUAAUUAUAUAAAAAAUAUGUGCUUAUUAAAUAAUUACAAAGACAAAGUAAAUAUAAACCAUUUUUUUAUUUGUAAUUAUAUCCUUCAUUUUUUUGUAUGUGAUUUUAUUAAUGAGCAUUUUAAGCAAAUCGCACAAAGGUUAUACUAUUUUUCCGAAUCUGAUACUGCAAUUACUUUAACUGGUAGUACCAAUAAUACUGAAAAUUAUAACAACUAUUUUUUUUCGCAACUUAUAAGUAAUACAUUAGGUGCAAUACAAAAUUUAGACAUCCAUAGAUAUGACAUAUAUAAUACUGUAGCAUAUAUAAUAAUGAAAAAAAAAAAAAAGUUUUCAGAUAAAUCUUAUGCAUAUUGGUAAUAUUAUACAUUCUUUUGCUUCAUUAAAAAUUAGAAACUUGAGUUUAUGUAAGUUGUUGUUAGACGAAUUUUUAAAUCGUUCGUUUGUCUUUGAAAAUGAGGAAUAUAUAAAAAAAGACAUUGGUACAGAGGAUGGUAUUAAUAACAUGGACGUACCAAGUACGACUAUAUACGAACACAUAGAAACUAUUACCGACCAAACAUUAAGUAAUAUAUGUAUCGGUUUACUAAAAUUAGAUUAUUAUAAUGAAAGAUUUACCAAAUUAAUUUGCAAAAAAUAUGAAACUUUAAAAUCGUUACAAUCAUUAAUUAAUAUUACUUUUUAUCUUUGUUACUAUAAUGAUCUAAUUUACGAAUUUAGGGAAAAUAAAAAAAAGUAUUUAAAUUAUUUUUUUAAACAAGUACAUAUCUUAAAAAUAAAUCAAUUAAGUAUACAAAGUAAAACACAAUUAAAAUUAAUCUCAUUUUUAAUAUUAUAUAUUCAUCAUUAUUAUCCUUAUAAAGAACAAACUACUGACUAUAAUGAAGUUUUAUUUAAUACAUUUUUUUUUAAUUAUUUAAACGAAUUAAACAAUGUAGUAUUACAAAAAAAAAAUACUUUAGACGUAACACAUCAGUUAGCAUUUAAUUAUUCUAUCAAAAAAUUUAUAAACUAUAUUUCAAUAUUAAAGCAAAUUAAUAUUACUAGUACAAUGCAUGAAAAUACUACUACUACUACCAACAAAAACCAAGACAAAUAUAACUAUAAUUAUUUAUCUUUCGAUACAUACAACAAAAGUAUUAAUAAAGACAUUCUUAUUGAUCAAAAACAAACCAAACCAAUACAAAGUUAUAAUAAAACAAUAAAUGAAAACAAUACAUUUAAUAACCCUUAUACAAACCUACUACUUGAAAAAAAAAAAAACCCAAACGAACAAGAUCAAAAAAAAGAUUUAAUAACUAUAUACAAUUAUUCCAUAAACAUAUCUGACACUUUUAAUUAUAAACAUAUAAAUAAUAAUAAAUCCAAAAUUCAGUUAUUGGCUUAUACAAAUUUUUUAACUCUCCAGUUUAUUUCUAUAUUACCUUUUCUAAUAAAACCAAUUACAUCUACAUCCUCUUUACAUAAUCAAGUAUAUGAAAUAUUAAUAUCAUUAAAGUUGUCAAGAAAAGUAAUAAAAGAGUUACCACAUUACCCGUACUAUGUCGACAUUGUUAUAGUAUGACAUAAGUGACAACAAAAAAAAAAAAAAAAAAAAAAAUGUACACGUUAUAUAUAUAUAUAUAUAUAUGGAAAUACAUACGUAUAUCCAUAUAUGUUUACGACG
Long non-coding RNA from Piliocolobus tephrosceles (Ugandan red Colobus), 1792 nucleotides. NCBI's taxonomy places the organism in Eukaryota, Metazoa, Chordata, Mammalia, Primates, Cercopithecidae. The record is from Ensembl.